This 337-nucleotide ribosomal RNA is filed under the name Acidimicrobiia bacterium. Its description in RNAcentral is "partial 23S ribosomal RNA". It matches the Rfam family "Bacterial large subunit ribosomal RNA", at positions 2594 to 2925 of the family's 2925-position model. The record is from RNAcentral. Lineage: Bacteria; Bacillati; Actinomycetota; Acidimicrobiia.
CGGUACGCGAGCUGGGUUUAGAACGUCGUGAGACAGUUCGGUCCCUAUCCUCUGUAGCCGAAGGUGAUUUGAGGAAAGCUGUCCCUAGUACGAGAGGACCGGGACGGACGCAGCUCUCGUGUGCCAGUUGUUCUGCCAAGGGCAUGGCUGGUUAGCGACCUGCGGAAAGGAUAACCGCUGAAAGCAUCUAAGUGGGAAGCCUGUUCCAAGAUGAGAUCACCCACCGGGAAAACCGGGUAAGGCCCGUGGCAGAACACCACGUUGAUAGGCCGGAAGUGUACGCAUGGCAACAUGUUCAGCUAACCGGUACUAAUCGGCCGAGGGCUUGGUUCUACAU